UACUUACCCUUCAAGCAAGAAAACGGAGUCCAGAAAAGACAGUCCGACCUCCGACCGAGAAACGCGGGGUUGCACUCACACACUUGCAACUUUUUGUGUAUGAACACAAAGUCGAACGAGAAUCGUGGUGGAAAGUGAGAAAUGGAAAAAAAAGUGAAACAGACAUAGCCAACAAGAGCAAAAGCGUCAUUUUGUUAUGUUUCGUUGAAGUGUAUAGUCGCGUCGCGUCGUGUCUCGUGUCGUUGUUAUUAUAAUAUUAGUAUAAUUAUAAACAAUAUCAAAUUAUAAACAAUAUGGAAACAAAAAAAGAUGUAAUCUCUAAUGAUGAAGAAAAAUCUAGAAGGUGAAACAUGCGAUUGGUAAUCUAAAAAACACCAACAACAGCAGCAGCAUCAAAUGAAAUAAAAUGAAAAAAAAUGUAUUGUAUUUUAUAUUGUAUUUAUUGUGAAAAUUUCGUUUGCCAAAAUAAAAUAAAAAAUAAAA
Molecule: long non-coding RNA, 483 nt
Organism: Episyrphus balteatus (marmalade hoverfly)
Lineage: Eukaryota; Metazoa; Arthropoda; Insecta; Diptera; Syrphidae
Exons: 2
Source: RefSeq, a predicted model, not a curated record